Long non-coding RNA from Eriocheir sinensis (Chinese mitten crab), 1841 nucleotides. RefSeq lists it as uncharacterized. The transcript has 4 exons. The record is from RefSeq and is a predicted model, not a curated record. NCBI's taxonomy places the organism in Eukaryota, Metazoa, Arthropoda, Malacostraca, Decapoda, Varunidae.
UCAAGCUAGGAGGAAUUUAAUAUAACUCACCCACAGAAACGAUCAAAAACCUCGGGAAUUAAUGAAAUAAUGUAUCCCAUUCCCGCAUACGAGAGUUGACUAAUGCGGCGGGAAUGAAUAGGUCAUGAUACUGAUUAGAUAAUGGCGUCCUAUAUUUGUGUGUGUGAAUGUGUAUGUGUGAUGAAGGCACCAGCUCAAAGAUAAAGCUCCCUGUCAGUGCUUAGUAAAGCCAUCUACAGCUAACACCUCGUCACCCUCCUCUACAUCUUCCUCUCUUUGCAUACAACAUACACAGGUAUCGGCGCUAUGGAACACGAUUCUGCAGCGGUAAUAGCGGAGACGAGUGCUGGAGGUGGAGGAGGGGGUGAGCAGGAGUCUCUUCAGGCGGAACUGGAGAAACUGGAGACCGAGAAAAGGAAACUGGAAAAGAGACUGCAGGAGACGAAGGAGGUACUGGUGUGUCGCGUGUGCCUGGACCGCCCCGUGGCUGCCGUCUUCAUGCCCUGCGCCCACCUCAGCACGUGCGUCACCUGUUCCACCUCCCUCACCACCUGCCCGCUCUGCCGCUCCCCGAUACACUACGCUGCCAAUGUCAUCCUCUAACAAACGCACCCAACCCUCCAACUGUGUGAUCUUCCUUCGCUCCUUCUCUCGCAUAAUUUUAUCUCUUACCUGUAAUGCACUAACCUUUCCUGUAUAUCGAUCCUUCUGUCGUUCUUUUGCAUAUACGGCUCACCUAAUACUAAUCUUAGGUAUCCCAUUCUUCCACUGUGACCUUCCUUCCCUCCUUCUCUCGUGCAUCUCUUGCCUGUUACCUCUAAUCACUUAUCUGUCCUCUCUGUUUUCCUUUCUGUUGUUCUUUUGCAUAUACGUCUUAGCUAUUAACCCUCUACGGCAUCCCAUUCGUCCAUUAUGUCCCCUUUCUUCUGCUAUUCUCUCGCUGCUCUUGCCUAUUACCUCUGCUCAAUCCACUAUCUCCUUUUCUCGUCCUCUUUUCAUCUUGUGACGCCAUCGAUCUUGUGAUAAUGGCCCCCCUUUCUGUUGCUCUCUCGUAUGCCUGUUGUCUGUUACCUCAAAACAUUCCAGUGUCUCUUCUCGCAUCCUCGUUUCAUUCGGUAUAACGCCUUAGAUCAUGUAAUUCACCAACGUAACUUUUCCACCUAAUCACCUCUCUUCUUUCACCCCUAUUUCAUCUUGUAACCCCUUCGAUAUAGUCAUUCUCUAAUGCAACUGUUACCAAUUCACUCCUUUUAAACUCCUACGUGCUUUUUAUCGGUCUAUUUAUGCCUCAACUUCUAACCCCCGCCCCUGUCUCUUUUAUCAUCCUGUAAUGCCUGACCUUGGCUCCUCUUGGCUAUACGUAUUCCCUUUGCAUCCUAUUUACGACGCAGCUCUUGUACUGGAUGCGUGUACAGUGUUAUAAACGUCUAAGUUUGUAUGAUUGUAGGAACCAUUAUAUACCUACUGGAUAUAAUCAAUGACAAUACUUUCCUGUCUAUGGGCCACUCGUGUUUGUUAGUCUCAUGUAUCAGAUUGGUGCUACUUACUCUUAAAGCUGUUAGAGAAAUGGCAAUCUUGUAGCUAUUUAACACUUGAAUGAUGAGUGACUGACGUAGCUUAGUGUGUGUGUGUGUGUGUGUGUGUGUGUGUGUGUGUGUGUGUGUCAUAAAACAAAAUCAAAUGAAUUUUUUUCUAAUAAUGUCACCUCCAUAGAAAGGAUAAUAAAUCAAUGGGUAUAAGCUAUAUAUUACUGAUGUUACCUAUAACUUAAUCUCGUAUUUACUCAAAUAUAUGUCAACAUAAUCUUCGGAAUUGUGAAUAAAGUUUAAACGACCAAAAGA